GAAGCUGACCAGACAGUCGCCGCUUCGUCGUCGUCCUCUUCGGGGAGACGGGCGGAGGGGAGGAAAGUCCGGGCUCCAUAGGGCAGGGUGCCAGGUAACGCCUGGGGGAAACCCACGACCAGUGCAACAGAGAGCAAACCGCCGAUGGCCCGCGCAAGCGGGAUCAGGUAAGGGUGAAAGGGUGCGGUAAGAGCGCACCGCGCGGCUGGUAACAGUCCGUGGCACGGUAAACUCCACCCGGAGCAAGGCCAAAUAGGGGUUCAUAAGGUACGGCCCGUACUGAACCCGGGUAGGCUGCUUGAGCCAGUGAGCGAUUGCUGGCCUAGAUGAAUGACUGUCCACGACAGAACCCGGCUUAUCGGUCAGUUUCACGU
Molecule: RNase P RNA, 374 nt
Filed under: Escherichia coli
Lineage: Bacteria; Pseudomonadati; Pseudomonadota; Gammaproteobacteria; Enterobacterales; Enterobacteriaceae
Description: RNase P RNA component class A
Rfam family: Bacterial RNase P class A
About the family: Ribonuclease P (RNase P) is a ubiquitous endoribonuclease, found in archaea, bacteria and eukarya as well as chloroplasts and mitochondria.
Source: RNAcentral